Molecule: ribosomal RNA, 96 nt
Filed under: Cytobacillus firmus
Lineage: Bacteria; Bacillati; Bacillota; Bacilli; Caryophanales; Bacillaceae
Also listed under: 1 other name
Description: Bacillus firmus partial 23S ribosomal RNA
Rfam family: Bacterial large subunit ribosomal RNA
Source: RNAcentral
UAAGAUCCCUGAAAGAUGAUCAGGUUGAUAGGUCAGAGGUGGAAGCGUGGCGACAUGUGGAGCUGACUGAUACUAAUCGAUCGAGGACUUAACCAC